This 400-nucleotide ribosomal RNA is filed under the name uncultured bacterium. RNAcentral describes it as "bacterial SSU rRNA". It matches the Rfam family "Bacterial small subunit ribosomal RNA", at positions 355 to 752 of the family's 1533-position model. The record is from RNAcentral.
UAAGGAAUAUUGGACAAUGGACGAAAGUCUGAUCCAGCCAUGCCGCGUGAAGGAUGAAUGUCCUCUGGAUUGUAAACUUCUUUUAUCUGGGACGAAAAAAGGGAAUUCUUUCUCGUCUGACGGUACCAGAUGAAUAAGCACCGGCUAACUCCGUGCCAGCAGCCGCGGUAAUACGGAGGGUGCAAGCGUUAUCCGGAUUCACUGGGUUUAAAGGGUGCGUAGGCGGGUAGGUAAGUCAGUGGUGAAAUCUCAGAGCUUAACUCUGAAACUGCCAUUGAUACUAUUUAUCUUGAAUAUUGUGGAGGUAAGCGGAAUAUGUCAUGUAGCGGUGAAAUGCUUAGAUAUGACAUAGAACACCCAUUGCGAAGGCAGCUUACUACACAUAUAUUGACGCUGAGGC